Molecule: ribosomal RNA, 402 nt
Filed under: bacterium
Lineage: Bacteria
Description: partial 16S ribosomal RNA
Rfam family: Bacterial small subunit ribosomal RNA
Source: RNAcentral
UGGGGAAUUUUGCACAAUGGGGGAAACCCUGAUGCAGCGACGCCGCGUGAUUUAGAAGGCCUUCGGGUUGUAAAAAUCUUUUCUAUGGGAAGAAAAUGACAGUACCAUAGGAAUAAGGACCGGCUAAUUACGUGCCAGCAGCCGCGGUAAUACGUAAGGUCCGAGCGUUGUCCGGAAUCAUUGGGCGUAAAGGGUACGUAGGCGGGUAAGCAAGUUAGAAGUGAAAUCCUAUAGCUCAACUAUAGUAAGCUUUUAAAACUGCUCAUCUUGAGGUAUGGAAGGGAAAGUGGAAUUCCUAGUGUAGCGGUGAAAUGCGCAGAUAUUAGGAGGAUUACCGGUGGCGAAGGCGACUUUCUGGCCAUAACCUGACGCUGAGGUACGAAAGCGUGGGUAGCAAACAGG